AUACGGAGGGUGCAAGCGUUAUUCGGAAUCACGGGGCGUAAAGGACGCGUAGGCGGGUUGGCAAGUCAGAUGUGAAAUCCUACAGCUUAACUGUAGAACUGCAUUCGAAACUGCUAACCUAGAGUAUGGGAGGGGGAGAUGGAAUUAGUGGUGUAGGGGUAAAAUCCGUAGAUAUCACUAGGAAUACCGAAAGCGAAGGCGAUCUCCUGGAACAUAACUGACGCUAAGGCGUGAAAGCGUGGGGAGCAAACAGGAUUAGAAACCCUAGUAGUCC
This 274-nucleotide ribosomal RNA is filed under the name uncultured bacterium. Its description in RNAcentral is "partial 16S ribosomal RNA". It matches the Rfam family "Bacterial small subunit ribosomal RNA", at positions 523 to 796 of the family's 1533-position model. The record is from RNAcentral.